Molecule: transfer RNA, 73 nt
Filed under: Ovis aries (sheep)
Lineage: Eukaryota; Metazoa; Chordata; Mammalia; Artiodactyla; Bovidae
Rfam family: tRNA
About the family: Transfer RNA (tRNA) molecules are approximately 80 nucleotides in length. Their secondary structure includes four short double-helical elements and three loops (D, anti-codon, and T loops). Further hydrogen bonds mediate the characteristic L-shaped molecular structure. tRNAs have two regions of fundamental functional importance: the anti-codon, which is responsible for specific mRNA codon recognition, and the 3' end, to which the tRNAs corresponding amino acid is attached (by aminoacyl-tRNA synthetases). tRNAs cope with the degeneracy of the genetic code in two manners: having more than one tRNA (with a specific anti-codon) for a particular amino acid; and 'wobble' base-pairing, i.e. permitting non-standard base-pairing at the 3rd anti-codon position.
Source: Rfam by way of RNAcentral
UUCCUGACGGUCCAGUGGCUAAGACUCUGUGUUCCUAAAGCAUGGGGCCCAGGUUCAAUCCCUGGUCAGGAAA